CAGUCGCCGCGGUAAUACGAGGGGUGCAAGCGUUAUUCGGAUUGAUUGGGUGUAAAGGGUGUGCAGACGGCUUAUUAAGUCACUUGUUAAAUUCUUCGGCCUAACUGAAGGUCUGCAAGUGAUACUGAUGAGCUAGAGGGUGGAAGAGAGAAGUGGAAUUCUCGGAGUAGCGGUAAAAUGCGUAGAUCUCGAGAGGAACACCAAUGGCGAAGGCGGCUUCUUGGUCCAUUCCUGACGUUCAUACACGAAAGCGUGGGGAGCAAACAGGAUUAGAUACCCCGGUAGUCCCUGUCUCUUAACA
This 301-nucleotide ribosomal RNA is filed under the name uncultured bacterium. RNAcentral describes it as "partial 16S ribosomal RNA". It matches the Rfam family "Bacterial small subunit ribosomal RNA", at positions 509 to 808 of the family's 1533-position model. The record is from RNAcentral.